This is a long non-coding RNA of Oenanthe melanoleuca, 150 nucleotides long. RefSeq lists it as uncharacterized. The record is from RefSeq and is a predicted model, not a curated record. Lineage: Eukaryota; Metazoa; Chordata; Aves; Passeriformes; Muscicapidae. The transcript is spliced from 3 exons.
GAGUGACCCCUGAGUGACCACUGAGCGACCACUGAUGACCACUGAGCGACCCCUGAGUGACCACUGAGCGACCCCUGAGUGACCACUGAGUGACCACUGAUGACCACUGAGUGACCACUGAGUGACCACUGAGUGACCCCUGAGUGACCA